GAUGAACGCUGGCGGCGUGCUUAACACAUGCAAGUCGAACGAUGAAGCCCAGCUUGCUGGGUGGAUUAGUGGCGAACGGGUGAGUAACCCGUGAGUAACCUGCCCUUAACUCUGGGAUAAGCCUGGGAAACUGGGUCUAAUACCGGAUAGGAGCGCCUACCGCAUGGUGGGUGUUGGAAAGAUUUAUCGGUUUUGGAUGGACUCGCGGCCUAUCAGCUUGUUGGUGAGGUAAUGGCUCACCAAGGCGACGACGGGUAGCCGGCCUGAGAGGGUGACCGGCCACACUGGGACUGAGACACGGCCCAGACUCCUACGGGAGGCAGCAGUGGGGAAUAUUGCACAAUGGGCGAAAGCCUGAUGCAGCGACGCCGCGUGAGGGAUGACGGCCUUCGGGUUGUAAACCUCUUUCAGUAGGGAAGAAGCGAAAGUGACGGUUCCUGCAGAAGAAGCACCGGCUAACUACGUG
This 466-nucleotide ribosomal RNA is filed under the name uncultured bacterium. RNAcentral's name for it is "partial 16S ribosomal RNA". It matches the Rfam family "Bacterial small subunit ribosomal RNA", at positions 28 to 507 of the family's 1533-position model. The record is from RNAcentral.